UACGUAGGGUGCAAGCGUUAAUCGGAAUUACUGGGCGUAAAGCGUGCGCAGGCGGUUUGGUAAGACAGAUGUGAAAAUCCCCCGGGCUCAACCUGGGAAUUGCAUUUGUGACUGCCCGACUAGAGUGUGUCAGAGGGGGUAGAAUUCCACGUGUAGCAGUGAAAUGCGUAGAGAUGUGGAGGAAUACCGAUGGCGAAGGCAGCCCCCUGGGAUAACACUGACGCUCAUGCA
Molecule: ribosomal RNA, 231 nt
Filed under: uncultured bacterium
Lineage: Bacteria
Description: partial 16S ribosomal RNA
Rfam family: Bacterial small subunit ribosomal RNA
Source: RNAcentral